GACGAACGCUGGCGGCGUGCUUAACACAUGCAAGUCGAACGGAAAGGCCCUGCUUUUGUGGGGUGCUCGAGUGGCGAACGGGUGAGUAACACGUGAGUAACCUGCCCUUGACUUUGGGAUAACUUCAGGAAACUGGGGCUAAUACCGGAUAGGAGCUCCUGCUGCACGGUGGGGGUUGGAAAGUUUCGGCGGUUGGGGAUGGACUCGCGGCUUAUCAGCUUGUUGGUGGGGUAGUGGCUUACCAAGGCUUUGACGGGUAGCCGGCCUGAGAGGGUGGCCGGCCACAUUGGGACUGAGAUACGGCCCAGACUCCUACGGGAGGCAGCAGUGGGGAAUAUUGCACAAUGGGCGGAAGCCUGAUGCAGCAACGCCGCGUGCGGGAUGACGGCCUUCGGGUUGUAAACCGCUUUCGCCUGUGACGAAGCGUGAGUGACGGUAAUGGGUAAAGAAGCACCGGCUAACUACGUG
This 468-nucleotide ribosomal RNA is filed under the name uncultured bacterium. RNAcentral describes it as "partial 16S ribosomal RNA". It matches the Rfam family "Bacterial small subunit ribosomal RNA", at positions 28 to 507 of the family's 1533-position model. The record is from RNAcentral.